AACGAACGCUGGCGGCAGGCUUAACACAUGCAAGUCGAGCGCAUCCUUCGGGGUGAGCGGCGGACGGGUGUGUAACGCGUGGGAACGUGCCCUCUUCUACGGCAUACCUUCGGGAAACUGAGAGUAAUGCCGUAUACGCCCGCAAGGGGAAAGAUUUAUCGGAGGAGGAUCGGCCCGCGUUGGAUUAGGUAGUGGGUGGGGUAACGGCCUACCAAGCCGACGAUCCAUAGCUGGUUUGAGAGGAUGAUCAGCCACACUGGGACUGAGACACGGCCCAGACUCCUACGGGAGGCAGCAGUAGGGAAUCUUGGAAAAUGGGGGCAACCCUGAUCCAGCCAUGCCGGGUGAUCGAUGAAGGCCUUAGGGUUGUAAAGAUCUUUCAGCUGGGAAGAUAAUGACGGUACCAGCAGAAGAAGCCCCGGCUAACUCCGUG
This 433-nucleotide ribosomal RNA is filed under the name uncultured bacterium. Its description in RNAcentral is "partial 16S ribosomal RNA". It matches the Rfam family "Bacterial small subunit ribosomal RNA", at positions 29 to 507 of the family's 1533-position model. The record is from RNAcentral.